UGCAGUAGAACGCUGAAGAGAGGAGCUUGCUCUUCUUGGAUGAGUUGCGAACGGGUGAGUAACGCGUAGGUAACCUGCCUUGUAGCGGGGGAUAACUAUUGGAAACGAUAGCUAAUACCGCAUAACAAUGGAUGACACAUGUCAUUUAUUUGAAAGGGGCAAUUGCUCCACUACAAGAUGGACCUGCGUUGUAUUAGCUAGUAGGUGAGGUAACGGCUCACCUAGGCGACGAUACAUAGCCGACCUGAGAGGGUGAUCGGCCACACUGGGACUGAGACACGGCCCAGACUCCUACGGGAGGCAGCAGUAGGGAAUCUUCGGCAAUGGGGGCAACCCUGACCGAGCAACGCCGCGUGAGUGAAGAAGGUUUUCGGAUCGUAAAGCUCUGUUGUAAGUCAAGAACGAGUGUGAGAGUGGAAAGUUCACACUGUGACGGUAGCUUACCAGAAAGGGACGGCUAACUACGUGCCAGCAGCCGCGGUAAUACGUAGGUCCCGAGCGUUGUCCGGAUUUAUUGGGCGUAAAGCGAGCGCAGGCGGUUUGAUAAGUCUGAAGUUAAAGGCUGUGGCUCAACCAUAGUUCGCUUUGGAAACUGUCAAACUUGAGUGCAGAAGGGGAGAGUGGAAUUCCAUGUGUAGCGGUGAAAUGCGUAGAUAUAUGGAGGAACACCGGUGGCGAAAGCGGCUCUCUGGUCUGUAACUGACGCUGAGGCUCGAAAGCGUGGGGAGCG
RNAcentral lists this ribosomal RNA (730 nucleotides) under Streptococcus sp. A24-1. Its description in RNAcentral is "bacterial SSU rRNA". It matches the Rfam family "Bacterial small subunit ribosomal RNA", at positions 56 to 770 of the family's 1533-position model. The record is from RNAcentral. Lineage: Bacteria; Bacillati; Bacillota; Bacilli; Lactobacillales; Streptococcaceae.